This 490-nucleotide ribosomal RNA is filed under the name uncultured bacterium. RNAcentral's name for it is "partial 16S ribosomal RNA". It matches the Rfam family "Bacterial small subunit ribosomal RNA", at positions 29 to 507 of the family's 1533-position model. The record is from RNAcentral.
AUGAACGCUGGCUACAGGCUUAACACAUGCAAGUCGAGGGGAAACGACGGGGAAGCUUGCUUCCCCGGGCGUCGACCGGCGCACGGGUGAGUAACGCGUAUCCAACCUGCCUCUGACUGAGGGAUAACCCGUCGAAAGUCGGCCUAAUACCUCAUGGCAUCGUCUGCGGGCAUCCAACGACGAUUAAAGAUUUCAUCGGUCAGAGAUGGGGAUGCGUCUGAUUAGCUUGUUGGCGGGGUAACGGCCCACCAAGGCGACGAUCAGUAGGGGUUCUGAGAGGAAGGUCCCCCACAUUGGAACUGAGACACGGUCCAAACUCCUACGGGAGGCAGCAGUGAGGAAUAUUGGUCAAUGGGCGAGAGCCUGAACCAGCCAAGUAGCGUGCAGGAUGACGGCCCUAUGGGUUGUAAACUGCUUUUAUGCGGGGAUAAAGUGAGGGACGUGUCCUUCAUUGCAGGUACCGCAUGAAUAAGGACCGGCUAAUUCCGUG